This is a long non-coding RNA of Brachypodium distachyon (stiff brome), 625 nucleotides long. RefSeq lists it as uncharacterized. The transcript has 3 exons. The record is from RefSeq and is a predicted model, not a curated record. NCBI's taxonomy places the organism in Eukaryota, Viridiplantae, Streptophyta, Magnoliopsida, Poales, Poaceae.
GAGAGAGAGCCCCCCAACAAGAAGAAGCUUCCUUAAUUUGCGGCUUUUCGUUGAGUAGUUUGGUUUCGAUGGACAGCUAGAUAAGAUGGAUAGGUAUAUUCUUUGCAGAGAGAUGGGGGUUUUGCUGAUUGAACAGAAAUUAAACAGGCUGGGACUUGUCUGAUGCUCCAUCUGAAGUCUGAAGCUAGCUCUGCUUGCUUCUUUUACAUAUGGAGUGGUACUAGCAUCUGCAGUUCAACUAACCAAGAUGCAUGCAUAGUCAGAAGCUUGAUGGAUAUGAACUAAUGAUGAUGAUCGUGUUAAUAAUUAUGGAUAUGUCAUGAUGAUGAGUCGUUCAUUUGCCCAUCCGUGUGCCGUGGGUUCCCAAAUAAAGAAAAAGAAAGCAAAAGCAUGCAUAUAAAUAGCAAGAUGGAUCCAUGGAGAAAUCAAUCAAUUCCUGAGAGGCCAGAGGAAGAUGAGCAGAAGCAGCUUGUACAUGGUGGUGGCAGUGCUUGUUGCCGUAACGUGGACGCCGGCGCCGACGAGGGCGACGGCGGCGAGCAGGAGCUGCAGAGAGCAGUGCAAGGAAGAGUGCACGGGAUGGCUCAUCAUGUGCAAGCUCUCCUGCGCCAGCGCCUGCGCCGGA